GAUGAACGCUGGCGGCGUGCCUAAUACAUGCAAGUCGAGCGAACGGACGAGAAGCUUGCUUCUCUGAUGUUAGCGGCGGACGGGUGAGUAACACGUGGAUAACCUACCUAUAAGACUGGGAUAACUUCGGGAAACCGGAGCUAAUACCGGAUAAUAUUUUGAACCGCAUGGUUCAAAAGUGAAAGACGGUCUUGCUGUCACUUAUAGAUGGAUCCGCGCUGCAUUAGCUAGUUGGUAAGGUAACGGCUUACCAAGGCAACGAUGCAUAGCCGACCUGAGAGGGUGAUCGGCCACACUGGAACUGAGACACGGUCCAGACUCCUACGGGAGGCAGCAGUAGGGAAUCUUCCGCAAUGGGCGAAAGCCUGACGGGGCAACGCCGCGUGAGUGAUGAAGAUCUUCGGAUCGUAAAACUCUGUUAUUAGGGAAGAACAUAUGUGUAAGUAACUGUGCACAUCUUGACGGUACCUAAUCAGAAAGCCACGGCUAACUACGUG
Molecule: ribosomal RNA, 497 nt
Filed under: uncultured bacterium
Lineage: Bacteria
Description: partial 16S ribosomal RNA
Rfam family: Bacterial small subunit ribosomal RNA
Source: RNAcentral